This 468-nucleotide ribosomal RNA is filed under the name uncultured bacterium. RNAcentral describes it as "partial 16S ribosomal RNA". It matches the Rfam family "Bacterial small subunit ribosomal RNA", at positions 28 to 507 of the family's 1533-position model. The record is from RNAcentral.
GACGAACGCUGGCGGCGUGCUUAACACAUGCAAGUCGAACGGAAAGGCCCUGCUUUUGUGGGGUGCUCGAGUGGCGAACGGGUGAGUAACACGUGAGUAACCUGCCCUUGACUUUGGGAUAACUUCAGGAAACUGGGGCUAAUACCGGAUAGGUGCUCCUGCUGCAUGGUGGGGGUUGGAACGUUUCGGCGGUUGGGGAUGGACUGGGGGCUUAUCAGCUUGUUGGUGGGGUGGUGGCUUACCAUGGGUUUGACGGGUAGCCGGCCUGGGAGGGUGGACGGGCUCAUUAGGACUGCGAUACGGAGCAGAGUCCUACGGGAGGCAGCAGUGGAGAGUAUUGCACAAUGGGCGGAAGCCUGAUGAAGCAGCGCCGCGUGCGUAAUGACGGCCUUCGUGUGGUAAACCGCAUUCGCCUAUGACGAAGCGUGAGUGACGGUAAUGGGUAAAGAAGCACCGGCUAACUACGUG